GACAGAGGGUGCAAACGUUGCUCGGAAUCACUGGGCGUAAAGGGCGCGUAGGCGGGAAUGUAAGUCGGGCGUGAAAUCCCCCAGGCUCAACCUGGGAACUGCACUCGAAACUGCGUUUCUUGAGUAUCGGAGAGGAAAGCGGAAUUCCUGGUGUAGAGGUGAAAUUCGUAGAUAUCAGGAGGAACACCAGUGGCGAAGGCGGCUUUCUGGACGGUAAC
RNAcentral lists this ribosomal RNA (218 nucleotides) under uncultured bacterium. RNAcentral's name for it is "partial 16S ribosomal RNA". It matches the Rfam family "Bacterial small subunit ribosomal RNA", at positions 524 to 740 of the family's 1533-position model. The record is from RNAcentral.